This 174-nucleotide small nuclear RNA is filed under the name Oncorhynchus tshawytscha (Chinook salmon). Its description in RNAcentral is "U2 spliceosomal RNA". It matches the Rfam family "U2 spliceosomal RNA". From Rfam's summary of the family: U2 is a small nuclear RNA (snRNA) component of the spliceosome (involved in pre-mRNA splicing). Complementary binding between U2 snRNA (in an area lying towards the 5' end but 3' to hairpin I) and the branchpoint sequence (BPS) of the intron results the bulging out of an unpaired adenosine, on the BPS, which initiates a nucleophilic attack at the intronic 5' splice site, thus starting the first of two transesterification reactions that mediate splicing. Lineage: Eukaryota; Metazoa; Chordata; Actinopteri; Salmoniformes; Salmonidae. The record is from Rfam by way of RNAcentral.
AAAACUUUUCCAAAAGAAAAAAUCUGUUCUUAUCAGUUUAAUAUCUGAUACGUCCCCCAUCGGGGGACUACUAUUAAAUGGAUUUUUCGAACAGGGAGUCGGAAAUGGGGCUUGCUCCGUCCGCUCCACGCAUCGACCCGGUAUUGCAGUACCUCCGGGAACGGUGCAACAUUU